UUCGACCGCCUGGGGUUCUUUAACGUGCACCCAAAUCUGAGCACACGGGCCUACAACAUGGGGCACCGCCCCCACCAUGCGGGAAAGCGCGCCUCCUGCUCGUGGGCCGGAAAUCCUGGGGACGGACUCGGAUCGAGCCAUGAGUGGGAGACUGCGUGAGUCCUGGUGAGCAACAUUUUGGAGAGUUCGAGCCGAAGGGAGUCUGGUUGAAGAAAAUUUGUGUGAGCGAGAGUCCGAGUGAGCCCUAAGCGCAAAAUGUACUUCGUGAGUGAAAGUGAGUGAGCUCCACAAGUGUUGCCAUUGCCAACCUAUGGUAUCCACCACGGAGGAAGGAAAAAGGCUGCCCUAAUAAGGAUCACUGCAUCAAUGCCCUUGUGCUUCCGGGACAGCGGGUGCGACCUGGUCUUCCAACGGGACAUUGGCGACAACCCACCGGCUCGGUCAACGCAAGCAAUGCCGCACCUUACUUGCUGCCUUCAACCCCUGAUCGUUUCUCAACUGGAAUCCAAGUGCAACGUUCUGUGCAGCUGCAUCGGAGGGACUAUAAAUACUGCCUACGCCCUACAAGAACUUGAAGCACGCCACCGCACUUAUGCUGGUCACGAAAAUGCCCUUCUUCCUCGUGCAGAGCGUCAGCCUCUGACUCCAGAGCGCUCCUGACCGCUCCAACUUCGAAGUGAGAGCUUGGCGUGAUCUGACGGGGAGAAUGGAUCACGUGACACAAUCCAGCCAAUCACGUGGCUACCGGCAGGUGAACGAGGCUCCCUCCCAAGUAGUGACCAAGCCCAGUGCUGCUUAGCUUCGGUGAUCGGACGAGAACUGGCGCAUUCAACACUGUAUGGCAGAUGGCAUUUUUUUUUUCAAGGCUACUUUCUUGCUUUUCUACUAACCUUACAACAUUACAUUCUGGCUGCAUACGGAUAAAGAAAGACUGCCUUAAAAAUCAAAGGUAUGUAAUUAAAUUGUGUUAGUUAAACAAUAAUGUCGAAGCUAAAUAUUGUUAUUUAUUGAAUAAAUAAUUAUAUUUAAUUGAUUUUUU
Molecule: RNA transcript, 1039 nt
Organism: Rhipicephalus microplus (southern cattle tick)
Lineage: Eukaryota; Metazoa; Arthropoda; Arachnida; Ixodida; Ixodidae
Source: RefSeq, a predicted model, not a curated record